CUGCGGGGGCGGGGGCGGGGGCGGGGGCGGAUGGGCGCCAGCCGGGGUGCGCUGCGCCAGCCGGGGUGGACCGCGGCAGGGCCUCGGCCUGGACCAACGCGCAGCGCCCCUGAACCGGCUGAGCGCGGGCCUGGUGAGGGCGAGACGGGACGCAGAGCGGUGGGCCGAGGGGGCAGGGGACCCGGGGGCGAGUCGGAGACCGGCCUCCACGGUUCGUCCUCAUAGACGGGAAGCAGCAGGCGGCCCGUCGGUCCCGAGCUUCCCGGGCAAACAGGACGCGGGAGGCUGUGCACAGGGGACUGGAGCACGUUUUCCUGGAAGGUCCGCCUGGACGAAGGGAGGAAGAGAAACCUAGAAGAGGACUCUGCCCAUUUUUAAAAACACCCAGUAGGAGACAUAAGACCUGGGUGACCUACGGGAUAGUCUGGAAACUCCACAGGACUCGGCCAGCGAGGACCCGGAGGGACUCCGGCGCAGUAGAGAAAACUGCCCGCUGCUGCUCCAGCCCCGGGCGAGUCCUCCGCCCCGCGUGAGCCUGCUGCCACGGACCCGCUGAGAGCUGGUAGAAGGCCUUUUGCCACCCCUCUGUCUCCCAGCCCAGGAUUUGAAUUCGGACAGCAGGAGCCACCAGCUGGAGGGUGCAGCCCACAGCUGGGCAGAAGGACGCGAUAGCACACCUGCUUUAGCUCGUUCCAGCUCAUCCAUGUGGGUCGCCGCCGCUAGACUCCUGCACAUUCUGAGGCACCAAGAGAGGAAAUAACCGCAUAGAUGUCUCCUCCCCACCCGAGAGGGGCUCCCAGCCCCCCUGCUUUGGCCCCAGCCAACCCCCCUCCUGCCCAGCCCCCUCCUUGUCCAAAAGACGUUUUUUCAUGAAUCUGGGGCUGUAACAUAAUAAAAAAAAAAUGAAUGCAACUGUGCCCCUUGAUGACAGGGAUGCGCUGAGACAUGCAUCCCUAGGUGAAUUCGUCACUGUGUAAACAUCAUAGAGAAAAGGCUAAAAAGGGCUAAUUCCAAUGUAACCCUGAUAUUUGGGGGGCUAGCAAUUGGAAUCCAUGCCAGCAAGCUCAGUGUACAUUCCUGAUAAUCUAUAAUUAAGCCACUACCUCCUUCCCAGAAACUGGUCUUGCAGAACCUGUUACAGAGGUCAUAAAACUGUGAACAAUGCACUGCCCCAGAGGGAGGAUUAUUAACGCUGGUGCCAGGCCAGACCAUCAGAUAUGGCCUGGAGACCCCCAACACCUGGGGGCCUUCUUGCAAGGCCCACAAAAAGGACCCGAAGCAUAAUCCAUAUUUGCAGGACAAAGACCACAGGGGGAUAUAAAGAGAAGCCCCCUGCAUGUUUCUUCACUCAGAUUUGGAAAGUUAUUCCCUGAGUCCGCUGGCAUAUUAAACAGUGUCCCUCCUUUUCUUUAAAGCGUCGCUUGGUUUUUCUGUGGUCUUCUGCAACAAUAGAGCAUCUACAUGGCUCUAUGGCUACCACCAGAAUACAUGCAGUUCAUCCUUGCCAAAACUUGGUUAUGAGGGGAAUGGCUGUACUUGGUCUUUGUUCCAGAUCCUGUCACAUAGCUCCUAAAACCCUUGGAAUUUCCAGAGUGAUAAGAGUGUCUUUUGUAUGAUAAAAAAAACCAUUGAAACCUGU
This is a long non-coding RNA of Myotis myotis, 1639 nucleotides long. RefSeq lists it as uncharacterized. Lineage: Eukaryota; Metazoa; Chordata; Mammalia; Chiroptera; Vespertilionidae. The transcript has 3 exons. The record is from RefSeq and is a predicted model, not a curated record.